Echinops telfairi (small Madagascar hedgehog) is the source of this 435-nucleotide long non-coding RNA. RefSeq lists it as uncharacterized. The record is from RefSeq and is a predicted model, not a curated record. NCBI's taxonomy places the organism in Eukaryota, Metazoa, Chordata, Mammalia, Afrosoricida, Tenrecidae. The transcript is spliced from 2 exons.
UCACAUUUUUAUGGGAAUGGAGAUAUUUGUGAUAUAACUGACAAACCAAGACAGGUGACUGUAAAACUAAAGUUGAAUCUCCAGUGAUUUGCAAAAUCUUGGAUACAGCAGACGAACACGGACUUCUUUCUCUCCCCAACUGAUCAGGUUGGGGGCAAGAUAACAUCAUUGAAAGUCAUGAUGAUUUCUUGUUCUGGUGACCAUGUGUCUCGUUACAGAGUUCUCAGCCAUCUGGACCUCACUUAAAGGAUUGUAUCAAAGGACUCUCAACCACUUUGUGAGCAUCUGUGUGUAUAUAAGAGCUUAUUGAUAAAUUUCUAAGGCAGAAACUUGUGUCUUGUUUUUCAUUUUUCUGUGUCUUAUGAAAUGACCGUGGGUGUGUGUUUUCUUUGCUUGGAUAAUGUGAUUCCAGAAUAAAUCUCAUUCAAGCAAUUA